This 317-nucleotide unclassified non-coding RNA is filed under the name uncultured fungus. RNAcentral's name for it is "sequence contains ITS1". The stretch from base 1 to 98 matches the Rfam family "5.8S ribosomal RNA", at positions 49 to 154 of the family's 154-position model. The record is from RNAcentral. Lineage: Eukaryota; Fungi.
UAAAGUGCGAUAUGUAAUGCGAUUUGCAUGAAUCUGUGAGUCAUCUAAUCUUUGAACGCAACUUGCGCCUUUUCGGAGGCAUGUUUGUUUGAGUGCCAUAUUACUCUCUGCAUAAGUGUGAAUGAAAAAAGCAUGAAUGCGAGUUUGACCAUUAUGUCCUAGUUUUUAACUGGGACUUGGUUUAAAGGUAGCCAGAUUAUAGCCAGUCCGGCUAGCCCGAGUGCUAAGCAUUCUUGGAACUAGUUGUUGAUUGGACUAUUAAAUUAUUAAUUCUAUAAUCAGGCCUCAAAUCAAGCAAGAUUACCCGCUGAACUUAA